CAACCUGCCGACAACACUGGGAUAGCCUUUCGAAAGAAAGAUUAAUACCGGAUGGCAUAGUUUUCCCGCAUGGGAUAAUUAUUAAAGAAUUUCGGUUGUCGAUGGGGAUGCGUUCCAUUAGGCAGUUGGCGGGGUAACGGCCCACCAAACCAACGAUGGAUAGGGGUUCUGAGAGGAAGGUCCCCCACAUUGGAACUGAGACACGGUCCAAACUCCUACGGGAGGCAGCAGUGAGGAAUAUUGGUCAAUGGACGAGAGUCUGAACCAGCCAAGUAGCGUGAAGGAUGACUGCCCUAUGGGUUGUAAACUUCUUUUAUACGGGAAUAAAGUUAGCCACGUGUGGCUUUUUGUAUGUACCGUAUGAAUAAGGAUCGGCUAACUCCGUGCCAGCAGCCGCGGUAAUACGGAGGAUCCGAGCGUUAUCCGGAUUUAUUGGGUUUAAAGGGAGCGUAGGCGGGUUGUUAAGUCAGUUGUGAAAGUUUGCGGCUCAACCGUAAAAUUGCAGUUGAUACUGGCGACCUUGAGUGCAACAGAGGUAGGCGGAAUUCGUGGUGUAGCGGUGAAAUGCUUAGAUAUCACGAAGAACUCCGAUUG
Molecule: ribosomal RNA, 594 nt
Filed under: uncultured Bacteroidota bacterium
Lineage: Bacteria; Pseudomonadati; Bacteroidota
Description: bacterial SSU rRNA
Rfam family: Bacterial small subunit ribosomal RNA
Source: RNAcentral